UGGGGAAUAUUGCACAAUGGGCGCAAGCCUGAUGCAGCCAUGCCGCGUGUGUGAAGAAGGCCUUCGGGUUGUAAAGCACUUUCAGCGGGGAGGAAGGCGAUAAGGUUAAUAACCUUGUCGAUUGACGUUACCCGCAGAAGAAGCACCGGCUAACUCCGUGCCAGCAGCCGCGGUAAUACGGAGGGUGCAAGCGUUAAUCGGAAUUACUGGGCGUAAAGCGCACGCAGGCGGUCUGUCAAGUCGGAUGUGAAAUCCCCGGGCUCAACCUGGGAACUGCAUUCGAAACUGGCAGGCUAGAGUCUUGUAGAGGGGGGUAGAAUUCCAGGUGUAGCGGUGAAAUGCGUAGAGAUCUGGAGGAAUACCGGUGGCGAAGGCGGCCCCCUGGACAAAGACUGACGCUCAGGUGCGAAAGCGUGGGGAGCAAACAGGA
This 430-nucleotide ribosomal RNA is filed under the name Chloroflexota bacterium. RNAcentral describes it as "Chloroflexi bacterium partial 16S ribosomal RNA". It matches the Rfam family "Bacterial small subunit ribosomal RNA", at positions 355 to 777 of the family's 1533-position model. The record is from RNAcentral. Lineage: Bacteria; Bacillati; Chloroflexota.